This 468-nucleotide ribosomal RNA is filed under the name uncultured bacterium. RNAcentral describes it as "partial 16S ribosomal RNA". It matches the Rfam family "Bacterial small subunit ribosomal RNA", at positions 28 to 507 of the family's 1533-position model. The record is from RNAcentral.
GACGAACGCUGGCGGCGUGCUUAACACAUGCAAGUCGAACGGAAAGGCCCUGCUUUUGUGGGGUGCUCGAUUGGCGCACGCGUGAGUAACACGUGAGUAACCUGCCCUUGAAUUUGGGAUAACUUCAGGAAACUGGGGCUCAUACCGGAUAGGAGCUCCUGCUGCAUGGUGGGGGUUGGAAAGUUUCGGCGGUUGGGGAUGGACUCGCGGCUUAUCAGCUUGUUGGUGGGGUAGUGGCUUACCAAGGCUUUGACGGGUAGCCGGCCUGAGAGGGUGACCGGCCACAUUGGGACUGAGAUACGGCGCAGACUCGUACGGGAGGCAGCAGUGGGGAAUAUUGCACAAUGGGCGGAAGCCUGAUGCAGCAACGCCGCGUGCGUGAUGACGGCCUUCGGGUUGUAAACCGCUUUCGCCUGUGACGAAGCGUGAGUGACGGUAAUGGGUAAAGAAGCACCGGCUAACUACGUG